RNAcentral lists this unclassified non-coding RNA (335 nucleotides) under Semitaspongia sp. SDCC NZ121. RNAcentral's name for it is "sequence contains 28S rRNA gene". Lineage: Eukaryota; Metazoa; Porifera; Demospongiae; Dictyoceratida; Thorectidae. The record is from RNAcentral.
GCACGUGGACGAAGAUCGUCCCGUGCCGUCCACCCGAGGCAGUGCCGUACUCCUCGUGACCACGUACCAGCAGCGGUUGGAUCGGGGCCACAAGGCAGCAGCGGAAGGUGAGUUGAUGCGAACCAGUUUCGCGUUGACAGCUUAUAGCCCUGCUGUGAGGCGCUCCGGUGUGACCGAGGAAGCUGGGCAGCCCUUGCCCAUUAUGGCGCACGCCGAAUGGCGGGGCCUCCCGACAGGAGCGAACCGUGCGGCGUUGACUGCAUGCAGUGCUCACCGUUGCGGUGAACUCGUGCCGGAGAGUGCCACUCGUGUGCCAGUGCUGCUGGUAUUCAGAU